GCGGUGGAUGAUGUGGUUUAAUUCGAUGCAACGCGAAAACCUUACCCACCUUUGACAUGGCAGGAAGUUACCAGAGAUGGUUUCGUGCUCGAAAGAGAACCUGCACACAGGUGCUGCAUGGCUGUCGUCAGCUCGUGUCGUGAGAUGUUGGGUUAAGUCCCGCAACGAGCGCAACCCUUGCCAUCAGUUGCUACGAAAGGGCACUCUGAUGGGACUGCCGGUGACAAACCGGAGGAAGGUGGGGAUGACGUCAAGUCCUCAUGGCCCUUAUAGGUGGGGCUACACACGUCAUACAAUGGCCGGUACAAAGGGCAGCCAACCCGCGAGGGGGAGCCAAUCCCAUAAAGCCGGUCGUAGUCCGGAUCGCAGUCUGCAACUCGACUGCGUGAAGUCGGAAUCGCUAGUAAUCGUGGAUCAGCAUGUCACGGUGAAUACGUUCCCGGGUCUU
This 448-nucleotide ribosomal RNA is filed under the name uncultured Hydrogenophaga sp. Its description in RNAcentral is "bacterial SSU rRNA". It matches the Rfam family "Bacterial small subunit ribosomal RNA", at positions 929 to 1382 of the family's 1533-position model. The record is from RNAcentral. Lineage: Bacteria; Pseudomonadati; Pseudomonadota; Betaproteobacteria; Burkholderiales; Comamonadaceae.